This 468-nucleotide ribosomal RNA is filed under the name uncultured bacterium. RNAcentral describes it as "partial 16S ribosomal RNA". It matches the Rfam family "Bacterial small subunit ribosomal RNA", at positions 28 to 523 of the family's 1533-position model. The record is from RNAcentral.
GAUGAACGCUGGCGGCGUGCCUAACACAUGCAAGUCGAGCGAUCUUCUUCGGAAGAGAGCGGCGGACGGGUGAGUAACGCGUGGGUAACCUGCCCUGUACACACGGAUAACAUACCGAAAGGUAUGCUAAUACGAGAUAAUAUGCUUUUAUCGCAUGGUAGAAGUAUCAAAGCUCCGGCGGUACAGGAUGGACCCGCGUCUGAUUAGCUAGUUGGUAAGGUAAUGGCUUACCAAGGCGACGAUCAGCAGCCGACCUGAGAGGGUGAUCGGCCACAUUGGAACUGAGACACGGUCCAAACUCCUACGGGAGGCAGCAGUGGGGAAUAUUGCACAAUGGGCGAAAGCCUGAUGCAGCAACGCCGCGCGAGCGAUGAAGGCCUUCGGGUCGUAAAGCUCUGUCCUCAAGGAAGAUAAUGACGGUACUUGAGGAGGAAGCCCCGGCUAACUACGUGCCAGCCGCCGCGGUAA